This 214-nucleotide microRNA precursor is filed under the name Sorghum bicolor (sorghum). RNAcentral's name for it is "MIR6217 microRNA precursor family". It matches the Rfam family "MIR6217 microRNA precursor family". Lineage: Eukaryota; Viridiplantae; Streptophyta; Magnoliopsida; Poales; Poaceae. The record is from Rfam by way of RNAcentral.
UGGCUACAAAAUAACUUAUUUUGUAGCCACUUUGAGUUACGAUAAUUACUAUAUUAAUUUACAAGAUUAUAGUAACUCCUUACGAACAUUACGGUAAAUAUCUCGAUGUGUUAUAGUAACCCAACAAUUGUAAAUAUGUACACAUAUUAUCGUAAAUUAGUAUAUAAAAUUAUCGUAAAUGGAGGUGGUUACAGAAUAACAUAUUUUGUAGCUA